UAAUCAUAACCAUAACCCCUCUGUGGGAUCUCAUCAAUGCCCCAAAGGGCGAUACAACAUGUGUUGAGUUGGUUUACAUAAACAUCACAAACCUCUAAGAUCAUGUAUAAAAAGGGAUACCUUACAUAUUGGGUCAAGCACAAUCUCUAAUCCUCAAUAUCAAUACAUUACAUGUCUAUACUGUACUUUUACAUAACAUCAUAAUCAUUUAUCAUGUCCACACUAGCUAUUAUAGAGACAAGACUUCAUGACUCUUGCCGACCUCCUGGUCUACCCUGUACCUGCAAACCUGGGGAAUUUGGGAGAGGGGUGAGCUACUAGAGCCUAGUGAGCAGAAUAAUAAAGCAUUUAAAACAUAUGAUAACAUGGAAUGCAUCACAUCACAGCUAAUCACAUCAAGGAUGAACUUGCCACCAAUAGCCCUCUACAUAGUCCAACUGUGCCAGAACGUAGAAUGGGUCCUGGUCUUUCUCUUACAUAACAUAGCAUAACAUAACAGUCCAACUGUGCCAGAACGUAGAAUGGGUCCUGGUCUUUCUCUUACAUAGUGCCAGCGAACGUAGAAUGGGUCCCACUGGUCUUACAUUCCGUACCGUACAUAUCACAUCAUCACAUCAUAGAUCGAGAGCUAUGGAUCAUCCAACAUUCAUCCACAUCAACAUUAAAAUAUGCAAUGCAACAUAUUCGUGAAUUCUAAUGCAAACAACCUAAAACAUCACAUGGCAUUCAUGAUGCAUGAACAUGCUCAAAACUUUACAAUUGAUUUACUUUAAAAUGUAAGGGUUUAUUCUACUCACCUCUGGAUAGCUCUGACCAGACACUGGGGCAACAGACUCACUGCUGGGGUCCUCGGUUCCUCGGGUCUGAACCUACACAGGUGGACUCAAAUGAGGGACUAAACAACUAGAACAUAACUCUAAAAACAUCCCCCAAAAACCCCCUAAAACUCCUCAAAACAUCCAUGCAAAAAUAUGCAAAGGAAGG
Molecule: long non-coding RNA, 984 nt
Filed under: Manihot esculenta (cassava)
Lineage: Eukaryota; Viridiplantae; Streptophyta; Magnoliopsida; Malpighiales; Euphorbiaceae
Description: long non-coding RNA (MESC_LNC012606)
Source: RNAcentral